This 217-nucleotide long non-coding RNA is filed under the name Sorghum bicolor (sorghum). Its description in RNAcentral is "long non-coding RNA (SBIC_LNC014790)". The record is from RNAcentral. Lineage: Eukaryota; Viridiplantae; Streptophyta; Magnoliopsida; Poales; Poaceae.
GGCGGAUGUACAAGUUGGUACUGGGAGGAAGAAUGCAUUGAACACAUUAAGAAAUCUUUUGCACAGGUGGUUGAGGCUGAAGGUGGUGAGGCAGUGAGCCGACGAAAGGAGUUCAAUGAUGUUGAUCAAGCGAAUGAUCUAUCUAAUAUAGUUGGGAUCGGACGCGAACUAAUUAUGUUGCUUAAGUGCAUUUUAGUUUUGGUUUUUUUAGUGCUAG